AAUAGCCUCGGGAAACUGGGAGUAAUGCCUUAUAAGAUACGUUUGUCGCAUGGCAUUUGUAUUAAACGCUCCGGCGCCAUAGGAUGGACCCGCAUCCCAUUAGCUAGUUGGUGAGAUAACAGCUCACCAAGGCCACGAUGGGUAACCGGUCUGAGAGGGCGAACGGUCACACUGGAACUGAGACACGGUCCAGACUCCUACGGGAGGCAGCAGUGGGGAAUAUUGCGCAAUGGGGGCAACCCUGACGCAGCAAUACCGCGUGAGUGAAGGAGGUUUUCGGAUCGUAAAGCUCUGUUAUUGGGGAAGAAAAAAAGACGGUACCCAAGAAGAAAGUUCCGGCUAACUACGUGCCAGCAGCCGCGGUAAUACGUAGGGAACAAGCGUUGUCCGGAUUUACUGGGCGUAAAGGGCACGCAGGCGGUUUUUUAAGUCAGAUGUGAAAGGCCACAGCUCAACUGUGGACAUGCAUUUGAAACUGAAAGACUUGAGUAUUGGAGAGGCAAGUGGAAUUCCUAGUGUAGCGGUGAAAUGCGUAGAUAUUAGGAGGAACACCGGUGGCGAAGGCGGCUUGCUGGACAA
This 579-nucleotide ribosomal RNA is filed under the name uncultured bacterium. RNAcentral describes it as "bacterial SSU rRNA". It matches the Rfam family "Bacterial small subunit ribosomal RNA", at positions 142 to 736 of the family's 1533-position model. The record is from RNAcentral.